UCCGUAGGUGGAUAAUUAAGUCAGAGGUGAAAUCCUGCAGCUCAACUGUAGAAUUGCCUUUGAUACUGGUUAUCUUGAAUUAUUAUGAAGUAGUUAGAAUAUGUAGUGUAGCGGUGAAAUGCAUAGAUAUUACAUAGAAUACCAAUUGCGAAGGCAGAUUACUAACAAUAUAUUGACACUGAUGGACGAAAGCGUGGGGAGCGAACAGGAUUAGAUACCCUGGUAGUCC
This 229-nucleotide ribosomal RNA is filed under the name uncultured bacterium. RNAcentral's name for it is "partial 16S ribosomal RNA". It matches the Rfam family "Bacterial small subunit ribosomal RNA", at positions 568 to 796 of the family's 1533-position model. The record is from RNAcentral.